UACGGAGGGUGCAAGCGUUAAUCGGAAUGACUGGGCGUAAAGGGCAUGUAGGCGGAUGAUUAAGUUAGAUGUGAAAGCCCCGGGCUUAACCUGGGAAUUGCAUUUAAAACUGGUCAUCUAGAGUUUUGUAGAGGGGGGUAGAAUUCCACGUGUAGCGGUGAAAUGCGUAGAGAUGUGGAGGAAUACCGGUGGCGAAGGCGGCCCCCUGGACAGUAACUGACGCUCAGAUGCGAAAGCGUGGGUAGCAAAC
Molecule: ribosomal RNA, 250 nt
Filed under: uncultured bacterium
Lineage: Bacteria
Description: partial 16S ribosomal RNA
Rfam family: Bacterial small subunit ribosomal RNA
Source: RNAcentral